RNAcentral lists this unclassified non-coding RNA (906 nucleotides) under Dictyostelium brefeldianum. RNAcentral's name for it is "partial contains 18S rRNA, ITS1, 5.8S rRNA, ITS2 and 26S rRNA". The stretch from base 312 to 469 matches the Rfam family "5.8S ribosomal RNA". Lineage: Eukaryota; Evosea; Eumycetozoa; Dictyosteliales; Dictyosteliaceae. The record is from RNAcentral.
UCUUUUUAUCUCAUAAAUAUAAUUAAAGAAUAAUAUGUAAUCUAUAUAUAAUUUGAAAAGUAUGCGAAAGUUUUGCUUAGUAAAAUAAUAUAGGUUAUUAUUGUCUUGAUGUUCUAUUUACUUUUAUUGGUAAAUUGUAUUUUUCGAGAUAAUAAAUGUUUGAUUUCGGUCAAAAUCCAUCUAGCAAUUGUUUCCAAUGUUACUUCUGAUCCCAAUCUUUACUCGAACCUAAAAGGCAAUAGCUUACGGUUCAAAAAUUUUUCUAGUAUGUCAAACAAACCAUUUAAAAUAUGUUUUAUAUUUAAAUAUUUAAGCAUAAACGGUGAAUACCUCGACUCCUAAAUCGAUGAAGACCGUAGCAAACUGCGAUAAUUCACUUGAAUUGCAGCCUACUGGGAUAGUUGAAAUGUUGAACGCACAUGAUGACAUUGGUCCUUCCGGAUUAAGUGUUAUACCUGGGUGAGAGUGGCUUUUAAACCAAUCAUAAUCAAAUGAUUUUAUUACGCAAGUAACAAUAUCUUUGAGAAUGACUUGUAUUGCGAAUUAAGACCUUCAGAUUAACCUCACGGAAGAUUUGUAGACUUGAUUUUCUUUACAUUUUUACGGUACUCCGUAGUAAUUGCUCACAGUCAUUCUUUAUAUAGUCUUUGAUUAAACUAUUUUCGCAUAGUUUUUUCAACAUGAGACCUUAUUGAAAGUCUAACUUGUCAAGUAGAAAACCGAAUUGAUUUAUCACUUUGUUUUCAAAAGACUAAUCUGACAAGUAUAUUUGGAAAUCUAGAUUAAACUGAUUAUUAAUCUAUCAAAGACAUAAUAUUUUGAAUAACAAAAACUGUUUAGUUGGUUCCGAUUAGCAUAGAGUGUUACUCUUUUUAGACUAUUUAUUGAACCCAUGACUUUAUAUGU